CGAGUAAAACAUACGAUGGCGGGGAUAUGUGCAAGCAUAUCCGUGAGGAAAGUCCGUGCUGCUCAGGACAUGGAUAGCUGAUAACGUCAGCCGAGGGCGACCUUAGAGAUAGUGCAACAGAGAUAUACCGCCACACCCCUGAAAAAAAGGGCCCCCACAAAAACAACAGUUUUUGUGGGGAAAAGGAGAAACUGACAAAGUGAUUGAGUUUUGUCUUUUAUGACAAAAUGAUUGAUACGAAGUCUGUUUCGACGUGGCAAGGGUGGAAAGGUGAGGUAAGAGCUCACCAGCGGUGUGGAGACAUACCGGCUAUGUAAACCUUAUCCGCAGCAACUCCCGACAGCAGAGCAUAUGUGGUCCUGCAGCUCUCAGGAGGAGGCUUGAACUUUAUGGCAACAUAAAGUCUAGAUAGAUCAUCGUUUAAUACAGAACACGGCUUACGGUUUACUCGUAAC
This 455-nucleotide RNase P RNA is filed under the name Oscillospiraceae bacterium. Its description in RNAcentral is "RNase P RNA component class A". It matches the Rfam family "Bacterial RNase P class A". From Rfam's summary of the family: Ribonuclease P (RNase P) is a ubiquitous endoribonuclease, found in archaea, bacteria and eukarya as well as chloroplasts and mitochondria. Its best characterised activity is the generation of mature 5'-ends of tRNAs by cleaving the 5'-leader elements of precursor-tRNAs. Lineage: Bacteria; Bacillati; Bacillota; Clostridia; Eubacteriales; Oscillospiraceae. The record is from RNAcentral.